RNAcentral lists this ribosomal RNA (301 nucleotides) under uncultured bacterium. RNAcentral's name for it is "partial 16S ribosomal RNA". It matches the Rfam family "Bacterial small subunit ribosomal RNA", at positions 509 to 807 of the family's 1533-position model. The record is from RNAcentral.
CAGCCGCCGCGGUAAUACGUAGGUGGCAAGCGUUGUCCGGAAUUAUUGGGCGUAAAGAGCUCGCAGGCGGUUUCUUAAGUCUGAUGUGAAAGCCCCCGGCUCAACCGGGGAGGGUCAUUGGAAACUGGGAAACUUGAGUGCAGAAGAGGAGAGUGGAAUUCCACGUGUAGCGGUGAAAUGCGUAGAGAUGUGGAGGAACACCAGUGGCGAAGGCGACUCUCUGGUCUGUAACUGACGCUGAGGAGCGAAAGCGUGGGGAGCGAACAGGAUUAGAUACCCCAGUAGUCCCUGUCUCUUAUAC